This 343-nucleotide RNase P RNA is filed under the name bovine gut metagenome. Its description in RNAcentral is "Bacterial RNase P class A". It matches the Rfam family "Bacterial RNase P class A". From Rfam's summary of the family: Ribonuclease P (RNase P) is a ubiquitous endoribonuclease, found in archaea, bacteria and eukarya as well as chloroplasts and mitochondria. Its best characterised activity is the generation of mature 5'-ends of tRNAs by cleaving the 5'-leader elements of precursor-tRNAs. The record is from RNAcentral.
GUCUGUCGGACAAUCGCGGCUGCAAGUGCCGAAAGGCCGCAGGUGAGGAAAGUCCGGGCUUCCAAGGGCAGGAUGCCGGGCAACACCCGGCGGGGGCGACCCCAGGACCAGUGCAACAGAAAUAAACCGCCCGCUUUUGCGGGUAAGGGUGGAAAGGCGAGGCAAGAGCUCACCGCCCGCGUGGCAACAUGCGGGGCAGAUGUAAACUCCAUCCGGAAGCAAGACCGCACAUAAAACGAUACGCUGACCCGGCGUGUUUUAGGGUAGGUCGCUUGAGCCUGCCGGCAACGGCAGGCCUAGAUAGAUGAUUGUCGAAACAUAACCCGGCUUAUAGACAGACUUG